GACGAACGCUGGCGGCGUGCUUAACACAUGCAAGUCGAACGGAAAGGCCCUGCUUUUGUGGGGUGCUCGAGUGGCGAACGGGUGAGUAACACGUGAGUAACCUGCCCUUGACUUUGGGAUAACUUCAGGAAACUGGGGCUAAUACCGGAUAGGAGCUCCUGCUGCAUGGUGGGGGUUGGAAAGUUUCGGCGGUUGGGGAUGGACUCGCGGCUUAUCAGCUUGUUGGUGGGGUAGUGGCUUACCAAGGCUUUGACGGGUAGCCGGCCUGAGAGGGUGACCGGCCACAUGGGAACUGAGAUACGGCCCAGACCCCUACGGGGGGGAGGGGGGGGGAAUAUUGAAAAAUGGGGGGAAGCCUGAUGCAGCAACGCCGGGUGCGGGAUGACGGCCUUCGGGUUGUAAACCGUUUUCGCCUGUGACGAAGCGUGGGUGAGGGUAAUGGGUAAAGAAGCACCGGCUAACUACGU
This 467-nucleotide ribosomal RNA is filed under the name uncultured bacterium. Its description in RNAcentral is "partial 16S ribosomal RNA". It matches the Rfam family "Bacterial small subunit ribosomal RNA", at positions 28 to 506 of the family's 1533-position model. The record is from RNAcentral.